Molecule: non-coding RNA, 100 nt
Organism: Acanthosepion pharaonis
Lineage: Eukaryota; Metazoa; Mollusca; Cephalopoda; Sepiida; Sepiidae
Source: the annotation of a GenBank genome assembly
CGUUGAAACACCAGUUCCCAUAUGAUCACAGUAGUUAAGCAAGAUUGAUCCUGGUCAGUACCCAGAUGGGUGACCACUUGAGAAUAGCAUGUGCCGUAGG